CUUCUGAGUACCCUCUGGGCUUAAGGCUGGUGAAGACUUGUUCACAGAUCAGCAUCAGUCUGAAGAAUAUAGAAACCAUUGCUCUGGCCAGUGCUUCUCAACCACACAGAUAAUAUAAUAAUAUUUGUAAGCACUCUCGAGUAGAAGAGUGAGGAUGCUCAUCACCAAAGACAGCAGGCUUAAGAGUCUGACCACCCCAAGACUCUGCCUCGCCAUCCCAAAGAGAAGACCUUUAAUAUUUCCACACAUCUGGAAUCCAUACCUGUUGCAAAUCUCUGUAUUAGAAACCCAACCCAGUCCAUGAUACAUGGAUUCUUGUUAGUGUUCAUCUCAGAAGUAUGCCUUUUCCUUACAUUGAGUUAGGACUACAUCUUCCUCUGGGGACUUUUGUCCUCUAACUGCAGUAAUACUGAAACAACUUAAGAGGACAAAGACCAAAUCGUUUUCAAGCCCCAUGAAGCAUUUCAAAAGUUCUACUCACAACAGGCCCCGGUGUGUGAUGUUCCCCUUCCUGUGUCCAUGUGUUCUCAUUGUUCAAUUCCCACCCAUGAGUGAGAACAUGCGGUGUUUGGUUUUUUGUCCUUGCAAUAGUUUGCUGAGAAUGAUAGUUUCCAGCUUCAUCCAUGUCCCUACAAAGGACAUGAACUCAUCAUUUUUUAUGGCUGCAUAGUAUUCCAUGGUGUCUAUGUGCCACAGAGUGGGGAGGG
RNAcentral lists this long non-coding RNA (707 nucleotides) under Homo sapiens (human). RNAcentral's name for it is "HSALNT0146258". The record is from RNAcentral. Lineage: Eukaryota; Metazoa; Chordata; Mammalia; Primates; Hominidae.